GGAAAGGUGAAGCGGCUCCUUCUGUCUGUCUGGAUUUUGCACCCCGUGGUGGGACAAUUGGCUGGGUGCUUACUUCUCGGAAGCUAACAGGAGAGGGAGGCCAGAGGACCCAGAGCUGGCCCGAGAAGCAGACGUCCAUGUGGACAGGGGAAUGUCUGGUUGGGGUCUCCACAGCUGCUCUCAUGGAAGAUCGUCCAUCUGAACAAGCUUGCGGAGAGGGCAGCUGGGAGCCCGCUAAUCGAAACCCGACGGGUGUCUGCUGAGGCCAAGUCCUGUCGUGCUGGAAGCCCCGUGGCACCUGCCCAAGCGGGCAGGGGGCUCACAGGCUGGCUUUGUUCCCCUCCCUCUCAGGUGGCUGCUUCAGGUGGUGGCCACUUCAAAGAAGCCCCAUGGAAAGCGGGGCCUCGCCUCAAGUUUCCUAAGGGCCCUGUCCAGGCUAAUGAGAUCAUUAAGAGGCUCCUUGUUAAAUGGGUUUAAACAGAGUUUGCCUGUGUGGCCUCUGGCUCUGCCCUGGACCCUGGUUGCAGUAUUUAAAAAAAUUUUAAUGUAUGUGUGUUUGUAUAUGUGUACGUAUUUCACGAUGUGCUUGAGAAUGUGGGCUCUGGCCUCCGACUGCCGGGACUGAAUCCUGCCUCCCACUUUCUGGUAGUGUGACCUCAGGCCAGUUACCUACUACUCCUCAGUGCCUCGGUUUCCCCAUCUGUAAAAGGUGCCUAACCGUUGUACUGCUGAUUGGGACUGUAGAACGCUCCAGUGACUCCCCACUGCCCGCAGCAGAGUGUCCAAGUUUCUUAGAAUGGUCAGCCGUGGCCUCAUUCCUCACCAUGCCC
This 830-nucleotide long non-coding RNA is filed under the name Equus asinus (donkey). RNAcentral's name for it is "lncRNA (ENSEASG00005026589.1)". The record is from RNAcentral. Lineage: Eukaryota; Metazoa; Chordata; Mammalia; Perissodactyla; Equidae.